UUACUAAGUGGUAGGAGAGCGUUCUAUUUGCGUCGAAGGUAUACCGGUAAGGAGUGCUGGAGCGAAUAGAAGUGAGCAUGCAGGCAUGAGUAGCGAUAAUUAAUGUGAGAAUCAUUAACGCCGUAAACCCAAGGUUUCCUACGCGAUGCUCGUCAUCGUAGGGUUAGUCGGGUCCUAAGUCGAGUCCGAAAGGGGUAGACGAUGGCAAAUUGGUUAAUAUUCCAAUACCAACAUUAGUGUGCGAUGGAAGGACGCUUAGGGCUAAGCAAGCUAGCGGAUGGAAGUGCUAGUCUAAGGAUGUAGGAGCUUAUACAGGCAAAUCCGUAUAAGAAUACUCCGAGAUCUUAAAGGCUCUUCAAAGUCUUCGGAUAGCGAGGAGAAUUGCUGAUGCCGUCGAGCCAAGAAAAGUUUCUAAGUUUAGCUAAUGUUGCCCGUACCGUAAACCGACACAGGUGGGUGGGAUGAGUAUUCUAAGGCGCGUGGAAGAACUCUCUUUAAGGAACUCUGCAAAAUAGCACCGUAUCUUCGGUAUAAGGUGUGGUUCGCUUUGUAUUAGAAUUUACUUCGAAAGCAAAGAAACUUACAACAAAGAGUCCCUCCCGACUGUUUACCAAAAACACAGCACUCUGCUAACUCGUAAGAGGAUGUAUAGGGUGUGACGCCUGCCCGGUGCUCGAAGGUUAAUUGAUGGGGUUAGCAUUAGCGAAGCUCUUGAUCGAAGCCCGAGUAAACGGCGGCCGUAACUAUAACGGUCCUAAGGUAGCGAAAUUCCUUGUCGGUUAAAUACCGACCUGCAUGAAUGGCGUAACGAGAUGGGAGCUGUCUCAAAGAGGGAUCCAGUGAAAUUGUAGUGGAGGUGAAAAUUCCUCCUACCCGCGGCAAGACGGAAAGACCCCGUGGACCUUUACUACAGCUUGACACUGCUAUUUGGAUAAGAAUGUGCAGGAUAGGUGGGAGGCUUUGAGUAAUAGACGCCAGUUUAUUAUGAGCCGUUGUUGAGAUACCACUCUUUCUUAUUUGGGUAGCUAACCAGCUUGAGUUAUCCUCAAGUGGGACAAUGUCUGGUGGGUAGUUUGACUGGGGCGGUCGCCUCCCAAAUAAUAACGGAGGCUUACAAAGGUUGGCUCAGAACGGUUGGAAAUCGUUCGUAGAGUAUAAAGGUAUAAGCCAGCUUAACUGCAAGACAUACAAGUCAAGCAGAGACGAAAGUCGGUCUUAGUGAUCCGGUGGUUCUGUGUGGAAGGGCCAUCGCUCAAAGGAUAAAAGGUACCCCGGGGAUAACAGGCUGAUCUCCCCCAAGAGCUCACAUCGACGGGGAGGUUUGGCACCUCGAUGUCGGCUCAUCGCAUCCUGGGGCUGGAGCAGGUCCCAAGGGUAUGGCUGUUCGCCAUUUAAAGCGGUACGCGAGCUGGGUUCAGAACGUCGUGAGACAGUUCGGUCCCUAUCUGCCGUGGGCGUAAGAAGAUUGAAGAGAUUUGACCCUAGUACGAGAGGACCGGGUUGAACAAACCACUGGUGUAGCUGUUGUUCUGCCAAGAGCAUCGCAGCGUAGCUAAGUUUGGAACGGAUAAACGCUGAAAGCAUCUAAGCGUGAAGCCAACUCUAAGAUGAAUCUUCUCUAAGCUCUCUAGAAGACUACUAGUUUGAUAGGCUGGGUGUGUAAUGGAUGAAAGUCCUUUAGCUGACCAGUACUAAUAGAGCGUUUGGCUUAUCUUU
RNAcentral lists this ribosomal RNA (1716 nucleotides) under Campylobacter lari. Its description in RNAcentral is "partial 23S ribosomal RNA". It matches the Rfam family "Bacterial large subunit ribosomal RNA", at positions 1218 to 2925 of the family's 2925-position model. Lineage: Bacteria; Pseudomonadati; Campylobacterota; Epsilonproteobacteria; Campylobacterales; Campylobacteraceae. The record is from RNAcentral.